This 253-nucleotide ribosomal RNA is filed under the name uncultured bacterium. Its description in RNAcentral is "partial 16S ribosomal RNA". It matches the Rfam family "Bacterial small subunit ribosomal RNA", at positions 524 to 776 of the family's 1533-position model. The record is from RNAcentral.
UACGUAGGGUGCAAGCGUUAUUCGGACUUACUGGGCGUAAAGCGUGCGCAGGCGGCGUUGUAAGACCGUUGUGAAAUCCCCGGGCUCAACCUGGGAACUGCAUCUGUGACUGCAUCGCUGGAGUGCGGCAGAGGGGGAUGGAAUUCCGCGUGUAGCAGCGAAAUGCGUAGAUAUGCGGAGGAACACCGAUGGCGAAGGCAAUCCCCUGGGCCUGCACUGACGCUCAUGCACGAAAGCGUGGGGAGCAAACAGG